AGUGAACGCUGGCGGUAGGCCUAACACAUGCAAGUCGAACGGCAGCACAGUAAGAGCUUGCUCUUACGGGUGGCGAGUGGCGGACGGGUGAGGAAUACAUCGGAAUCUACUUUUUCGUGGGGGAUAACGUAGGGAAACUUACGCUAAUACCGCAUACGACCUACGGGUGAAAGCAGGGGAUCUUCGGACCUUGCGCGAUUGAAAGAGCCGAUGUCGGAUUAGCUAGUUGGCGGGGUAAAGGCCCACCAAGGCGACGAUCUGUAGCUGGUCUGAGAGGAUGAUCAGCCACACUGGAACUGAGACACGGUCCAGACUCCUACGGGAGGCAGCAGUGGGGAAUAUUGGACAAUGGGCGCAAGCCUGAUCCAGCCAUACCGCGUGGGUGAAGAAGGCCUUCGGGUUGUAAAGCCCUUUUGUUGGGAAAGAAAAGCAGCAGGUUAAUACCCCGCUGUUCUGACGGUACCCAAAGAAUAAGCACCGGCUAACUUCGUG
Molecule: ribosomal RNA, 492 nt
Filed under: uncultured bacterium
Lineage: Bacteria
Description: partial 16S ribosomal RNA
Rfam family: Bacterial small subunit ribosomal RNA
Source: RNAcentral